GAUGAACGCUGGCGGCGUGCCUAAUACAUGCAAGUCGAGCGAACAGACGAGGAGCUUGCUCCUCUGACGUUAGCGGCGGACGGGUGAGUAACACGUGGAUAACCUACCUAUAAGACUGGGAUAACUUCGGGAAACCGGAGCUAAUACCGGAUAAUAUAUUGAACCGCAUGGUUCAAUAGUGAAAGACGGUUUUGCUGUCACUUAUAGAUGGAUCCGCGCCGCAUUAGCUAGUUGGUAAGGUGACGGCUUACCAAGGCAACGAUGCGUAGCCGACCUGAGAGGGUGAUCGGCCACACUGGAACUGAGGCACGGUCCAGACUCCUACGGGAGGCAGCAGUAGGGAAUCUUCCGCAAUGGGCGAAAGCCUGACGGAGCAACGCCGCGCGAGUGAUGAAGGUCUUCGGAUCGUAAAACUCUGUUAUUAGGGAAGAACAAAUGUGUAAGUAACUAUGCACGUCUUGACGGUACCUAAUCAGAAAGCCACGGCUAACUACGUG
This 497-nucleotide ribosomal RNA is filed under the name uncultured bacterium. RNAcentral describes it as "partial 16S ribosomal RNA". It matches the Rfam family "Bacterial small subunit ribosomal RNA", at positions 28 to 507 of the family's 1533-position model. The record is from RNAcentral.